RNAcentral lists this ribosomal RNA (440 nucleotides) under uncultured bacterium. RNAcentral's name for it is "partial 16S ribosomal RNA". It matches the Rfam family "Bacterial small subunit ribosomal RNA", at positions 338 to 795 of the family's 1533-position model. The record is from RNAcentral.
CCUACGGGAGGCUGCAGUGGGGAAUAUUGCACAAUGGGGGAAACCCUGAUGCAGCGACGCCGCGUGAGUGAAGAAGUAUUUCGGUACGUAAAGCUCUAUCAGCAGGGAAGAAAAUGACGGUACCUGACUAAGAAGCCCCGGCUAACUACGUGCCAGCAGCCGCGGUAAUACGUAGGGGGCAAGCGUUAUCCGGAUUUACUGGGUGUAAAGGGAGCGUAGACGGCAGCGCAAGUCUGGAGUGAAAUCCCAUGGCUUAACCAUGGAACUGCUUUGGAAACUGGGCAGCUAGAGUGCAGGAGAGGUAAGCGGAAUGCCUAGUGUAGCGGUGAAAUGCGUAGAUAUUAGGAGGAACACCAGUGGCGAAGGCGGCUUACUGGACUGUAACUGACGUUGAGGCUCGAAAGCGUGGGGAGCAAACAGGAUUAGAUACCCCUGUAGUC